GGGAAAGCAAGAGACAGGGACGAGAGAGAUUAGUGGGAAAGAGAUGACAGACAGAGGGAGCCAAAGGGACAGGUCAAAAUAGAUGCAGAAAAUCAAGGAGGAAGAAAGAAAGAGGGAGAAGGAGGGAGAAGGAACAGGGGCAGGAGCAGAAUCAUAACACACAGACAAUUUUCCUGCCCGUUGACUUGUUUUAACCAGUUUUCUGCCUUCGGCUGAUUCUACCAGCAGACACUGAAAGGACUCUGAUAGUUUGAGUGAAAGUAGCAGUUGCUCCUUAAGGUCAGAGAUUGCAGCAUCUGAGGGCCUCUUCAAAAGAAGACUUAGUUGAUGAAGGCGUUCUGGAGCAGGACCAGAAAGACCACGACUAAGCACCCUUGAGAUCUCAGGCAGCGUCUCGCUCAGACCAAAGAACUACAGACUCUUCACAACCUGCUCAAACUCUUGGUACAGGACCUCACCACACGGGUCAAGAAGGUUUCUGUC
Amphiprion ocellaris (clown anemonefish) is the source of this 483-nucleotide long non-coding RNA. The record is from Ensembl. NCBI's taxonomy places the organism in Eukaryota, Metazoa, Chordata, Actinopteri, Pomacentridae.